AUUGAACGCUGGCGGAAUGCUUUACACAUGCAAGUCGAACGGUAGAGGGGGCAACCCCUCGAGAGUGGCGAACGGGUGAGUAAUAUAUCGGAACGUGCCCAGUCGUGGGGGAUAACGUAGCGAAAGUUACGCUAAUACCGCAUACGAUCCAAGGAUGAAAGCGGGGGAUCGCAAGACCUCGCGCGAUUGGAGGGGCCGAUAUCAGAUUAGGUAGUUGGUGGGGUAAAGGCUCACCAAGCCAACGAUCUGUAGCUGGUCUGAGAGGACGACCAGCCACACUGGAACUGAGACACGGUCCAGACUCCUACGGGAGGCAGCAGUGGGGAAUUUUGGACAAUGGACGCAAGUCUGAUCCAGCCAUUCCGCGUGCAGGAUGAAGGCCCUCGGGUUGUAAACUGCUUUUGUACGGAACGAAAAGGUCUCUCUUAAUACGGGGGGCUCAUGACGGUACCGUAAGAAUAAGCACCGGCUGACUACGUGCCAGCCGCCGCAGUAA
Molecule: ribosomal RNA, 496 nt
Filed under: uncultured bacterium
Lineage: Bacteria
Description: partial 16S ribosomal RNA
Rfam family: Bacterial small subunit ribosomal RNA
Source: RNAcentral